ACGAACGCUGGCGGCAUGCCUAACCCAUGCAAGUCGAACGAGACCUUCGGGUCUAGUGGCGCACGGGUGCGUAACGCGUGGGAACCUGCCCUUAGGUUCGGAAUAACUCCCCGAAAGGGGUGCUAAUACCGGAUAAUGUCUUCGGACCAAAGAUUUAUCGCCUUUGGAUGGGCCCGCGUUGGAUUAGCUAGUUGGUAGGGUAAAAGCCUACCAAGGCGACGAUCCAUAGCUGGUCUGAGAGGAUGAUCAGCCACACUGGGACUGAGACACGGCCCAGACUCCUACGGGAGGCAGCAGUGGGGAAUAUUGGACAAUGGGCGAAAGCCUGAUCCAGCAAUGCCGCGUGAGUGAUGAAGGCCUUAGGGUUGUAAAGCUCUUUUACCCGGGAUGAUAAUGACAGUACCGGGAGAAUAAGCGCCGGCUAACUCCGUG
This 432-nucleotide ribosomal RNA is filed under the name uncultured bacterium. RNAcentral describes it as "partial 16S ribosomal RNA". It matches the Rfam family "Bacterial small subunit ribosomal RNA", at positions 29 to 507 of the family's 1533-position model. The record is from RNAcentral.